CGCCGUUCGGCGCCUGCACGUCGCCCGACGUCGUGACGCCGGCGUGCCUCCGCGCGGGGCUGUAAGGGAGUCACGUGAGGGGAAGCGCUCUCCAGCAGUGUCAGUCUGUAGCUCGAAACAGCGUUGACAUUUAGCUUCCUAUCAAAUGGCAAAUAAUAUUGCAACUGUUUUUGAAAGUCUGAAAGUCGAAAUAGAGUCCCCGUGUUGUUAGUGAUAUUGCUAAUAUUUUAGUGCACCUGUAAGGAAACGGGUGGUAAAAUUGAUUGCAAUAAUGUAUCCUGGGAAAGUUUGGGACAGGAGAGAAGGUGAAAAAAAGUUACACACUGAACUCCCAGAAGUCUCCAUCAUCUUCAAGUUACGAUGUCAACAAAUACUGACCUUGCAGAGGGCAGAACUCUGGCUAAGUAAGGACCUCUCCAUGUGGUGUCUUCACACAGCCUCUCCAGCAUGACAGCCUCAGGAUAGCUGGUCUUAUUAUAUGGCAAGUGGUCCAAGAACGAGUGUUGCAAGAGACCCGAGCAGAAGCUCAAUAGCUUCUUCUUUAUUACCCAACUCUGAGAAUCUGAGAACACCACUUCUACCACAUUUUAUUGGUUAAGCAAGGCACUAAGGCCAGCCCAUAUCCAAGCCGCAUAGAGGGGAGACGGUAGUUCCAGGAUGCAUCAACCUUGACAAUCAACAACUUCCACCCCAGUGCUACUGCUGCAACUCCUCUUCAUGGUAUUCCCCAACACCGAGCCUCCUUCUCACUAGAAGAAGCCUUCUUUAAGGGUAGAAAAUGAUGAUACGUUUUUCUCGAAGUUGUUCAGUGGCAGCUCUGUUCUGCCAAUAUUUUUUGAAGGCUGCACAUAAAUAUCAUUUAGUGUUUCCAAAAAGGUACGUUUCUAACAACAGUAUUUUGGACAGCCACAGACAGUCUUUUGGGAGAAACAGUUUGAGAAAUGAAGGAAAACAGGGCUGGAUGUGAGAAUUGGUGGUCCAAGCUAGGUUCUGUCACAUAUUAGGUGUGUGAGUUUGCAAGAGUCAUGUAGCUUUCUGAGCCUCUGUUUUUAUACCAAAGGAUCACAGUAAGGAUGUCAUAAUCUUAUGUGAUUCUUAAACUGAUACACACCAUUAGAAAUCCUGGGCUCUAAGUAUGCAAAUUUAAAAGUAGUGAUUGUUAUCCAUCCAUCUAAGUAUUUAUCUUCUAAUUUAACACAUACAUGUUUGCCUAAUUGUCAGAUACAGGGUGAAUUGUUUCAGGUAAAACUGUUGAUCAUCUCACAAUCUCUUUAACACCUGACAGAUCACCAGAAACAGAGUAAGAAAUUAUGGAUGAAAAUUCUCCUUAUUCCCACUGUUAAUUGCAGUCAGAAGCAACCAAAGAGACCCCUCCACCCCCCCUA
Acinonyx jubatus (cheetah) is the source of this 1385-nucleotide long non-coding RNA. RefSeq lists it as uncharacterized. Lineage: Eukaryota; Metazoa; Chordata; Mammalia; Carnivora; Felidae. The transcript has 4 exons. The record is from RefSeq and is a predicted model, not a curated record.